UACGUAGGGGGCUAGCGUUGUCCGGAAUCAUUGGGCGUAAAGCGCGUGUAGGCGGUCCGGUAAGUCCGCUGUGAAAGUCGGGGGCUCAACCCUCGAAUGCCGGUGGAUACUGUCGGGCUAGAGUGCGGAAGAGGCGAGUGGAAUUCCUGGUGUAGCGGUGAAAUGCGCAGAUAUCAGGAGGAACACCAAUUGCGAAAGCAGGCCGCUGGGCCGAUUCUGACGCUGAGGUACGAAAGCGUGGGGAGCGAACGGG
RNAcentral lists this ribosomal RNA (253 nucleotides) under uncultured bacterium. RNAcentral describes it as "partial 16S ribosomal RNA". It matches the Rfam family "Bacterial small subunit ribosomal RNA", at positions 524 to 776 of the family's 1533-position model. The record is from RNAcentral.